This 505-nucleotide ribosomal RNA is filed under the name uncultured bacterium. Its description in RNAcentral is "partial 16S ribosomal RNA". It matches the Rfam family "Bacterial small subunit ribosomal RNA", at positions 28 to 507 of the family's 1533-position model. The record is from RNAcentral.
GACGAACGCUGGCGGCGUGCCUAAUACAUGCAAGUAGAACGCACAGUUUAUACCGUAGCUUGCUACACCAUAGACUGUGAGUUGCGAACGGGUGAGUAACGCGUAGGUAACCUGCCUGGUAGCGGGGGAUAACUAUUGGAAACGAUAGCUAAUACCGCAUAAUAUUGAUUAUUGCAUGAUAAUUGAUUGAAAGAUGCUAUUGCAUCACUACCAGAUGGACCUGCGUUGUAUUAGCUAGUAGGUGAGGUAACGGCUCACCUAGGCGACGAUACAUAGCCGACCUGGGAGGGUGAUCGGCCACACUGGGACUGAGACACGGCCCAGACUCCUACGGGAGGCAGCAGUAGGGAAUCUUCGGCAAUGGACGAAAGUCUGACCGAGCAACGCCGCGGGAGUGAAGAAGGUUUUCGGAUCGUAAAGCUCUGUUGUAAGAGAAGAACGGGUGUGAGAGUGGAAAGUUCACACUGUGACGGUAUCUUACCAGAAAGAGACGGCUAACUACGUG